RNAcentral lists this ribosomal RNA (90 nucleotides) under Gallibacterium anatis. RNAcentral's name for it is "partial 16S ribosomal RNA". The stretch from base 18 to 90 matches the Rfam family "Bacterial small subunit ribosomal RNA", at positions 1 to 73 of the family's 1533-position model. Lineage: Bacteria; Pseudomonadati; Pseudomonadota; Gammaproteobacteria; Pasteurellales; Pasteurellaceae. The record is from RNAcentral.
GAUUUAAGAGCGAGAUUAAAUUGAAGAGUUUGAUCAUGGCUCAGAUUGAACGCUGGCGGCAGGCUUAACACAUGCAAGUCGAACGGUAAC